Molecule: long non-coding RNA, 253 nt
Filed under: Manihot esculenta (cassava)
Lineage: Eukaryota; Viridiplantae; Streptophyta; Magnoliopsida; Malpighiales; Euphorbiaceae
Description: long non-coding RNA (MESC_LNC000956)
Source: RNAcentral
GAAUGUUGGAUGACCCACUAGCUCUCGAUAUGAUAUGAUAUAAUAUGAUACGAAAGUCGAAGUCGAGGCCCAUUCUACGUCCCUAGCAAUAUGUAAGAGAAAGUCCAGGUUGAGACCCAUUCUACGCCCCUGGCAUUAUGGAUAUGUUAUGUUAUGUUUAAGCGAAAGUCCUGAGGAGCUCCGUCGAGGGCCGGGCACAUUGGAUUAUAUAGAGGGUUACUGGUGAUAAGUCCAUCUUGAUGUGAAUUGUUUA